AUUGAACGCUGGCGGCAGGCCUAACACAUGCAAGUCGAACGGAGUGGCGGACGGGUGAGUAAUGUCUGGGAAACUGCCUGAUGGAGGGGGAUAACUAAUGGAAACGGUAGCUAAUACCGCAUACUAUCAGAUGAGCCGAGGUCGGAUUAGCUCGUGGGUGGGGUAAAGGCCUACCAAGGCGACGAUCCGUAACUGGGCUGAGAGGAUGAUCAGUCACACUGGAACUGAGACACGGUCCAGACUCCUACGGGAGGCAGCAGGGGGGAAUAUUGGACAAUGGGCGAAAGCCUGAUCCAGCCAUGCCGCGUGUGUGAAGAAGGUCUUCGGAUUGUAAAGCACUUUAAGUUGGGAGGCGUUACCAACAGAAUAAGCACCGGCUAACUUCGUGCCAGCCGCCGCGGUAAUAC
RNAcentral lists this ribosomal RNA (407 nucleotides) under uncultured bacterium. RNAcentral's name for it is "partial 16S ribosomal RNA". It matches the Rfam family "Bacterial small subunit ribosomal RNA", at positions 30 to 526 of the family's 1533-position model. The record is from RNAcentral.